This 200-nucleotide ribosomal RNA is filed under the name uncultured eukaryote. RNAcentral describes it as "partial 18S ribosomal RNA". It matches the Rfam family "Eukaryotic small subunit ribosomal RNA", at positions 588 to 795 of the family's 1831-position model. The record is from RNAcentral.
GCUCCAAUAGCGUAUAUUUAAGUUGUUGCAGUUAAAAAGCUCGUAGUUGGAUUUCGGGUGGGUGAUAGCGGUCCGCCUAUGGUGAGUACUGCUGUGGCCUACCUUUCUGCCGGGGACGUGCUCCUGGGCUUAAUUGUCCGGGACAUGGAAUCGGCGUUGUUACUUUGAGUAAAUUAGAGUGUUCAAAGCAAGCCUACGCU